RNAcentral lists this ribosomal RNA (297 nucleotides) under Bacillaceae bacterium. RNAcentral's name for it is "partial 16S ribosomal RNA". It matches the Rfam family "Bacterial small subunit ribosomal RNA", at positions 474 to 771 of the family's 1533-position model. Lineage: Bacteria; Bacillati; Bacillota; Bacilli; Caryophanales; Bacillaceae. The record is from RNAcentral.
GGAACCUCACCAGAAAGCCACCGAUAACUUUGUCCACGCACGCGGGGUAAUUCGUAGGGGGCAUGCUUUAUCGGGAAUUAUUGGGUGUAAAGGCCUCGCAGGCGGUUUUUUAAGUCUUAUGUGAAAGCCCGCGGCUCAUCCGGGGAGGGUUUUGGAAACUGGGAAACUUGAGUGCAGAAGAGGAGAGUGGAAUUCCAUGUGUAGCGGUGAAAUGCGUAGAGAUGUGGAGGAACACCAGUGGCGAAGGCGACUCUCUGGUCUGUAACUGACGCUGAGGAGCGAAAGCGUGGGGAGCGA